CCUACGGGGGGCAGCAGUGGGGAAUAUUGGACAAUGGGGGGAACCCUGAUCCAGCCAUGCCGCGUGUGUGAAGAAGGCCCUCGGGUUGUAAAGCACUUUCAGUGAGGAAGAACGCCUGGUGGUUAAUACCUAUCAGGAAAGACAUCACUCACAGAAGAAGCACCGGCUAACUCCGUGCCAGCAGCCGCGGUAAUACGGAGGGUGCGAGCGUUAAUCGGAAUUACUGGGCGUAAAGCGCGCGUAGGUGGCUUGAUAAGCCGGUUGUGAAAGCCCCGGGCUCAACCUGGGAACGGCAUCCGGAACUGUCAAGCUAGAGUGCAGGAGAGGAAGGUAGAAUUCCCGGUGUAGCGGUGAAAUGCGUAGAGCUCGGGAGGAAUACCAGUGGCGAAGGCGGCCUUCUGGACUGACACUGACACUGAGGUGCGAAAGCGUGGGUAGCAAACAGGAUUAGAUACCCCAGUAGUC
This 465-nucleotide ribosomal RNA is filed under the name Vreelandella stevensii. Its description in RNAcentral is "partial 16S ribosomal RNA". It matches the Rfam family "Bacterial small subunit ribosomal RNA", at positions 338 to 795 of the family's 1533-position model. The record is from RNAcentral. Lineage: Bacteria; Pseudomonadati; Pseudomonadota; Gammaproteobacteria; Oceanospirillales; Halomonadaceae.